AGCUCAGUUGGUAGAGCAUGGGACUCUUGAUCUCAGGAUCAUGAGUUUAAGCCUCAU
RNAcentral lists this transfer RNA (57 nucleotides) under Canis lupus familiaris (dog). It matches the Rfam family "tRNA", at positions 9 to 63 of the family's 71-position model. Rfam says of the family: Transfer RNA (tRNA) molecules are approximately 80 nucleotides in length. Their secondary structure includes four short double-helical elements and three loops (D, anti-codon, and T loops). Further hydrogen bonds mediate the characteristic L-shaped molecular structure. tRNAs have two regions of fundamental functional importance: the anti-codon, which is responsible for specific mRNA codon recognition, and the 3' end, to which the tRNAs corresponding amino acid is attached (by aminoacyl-tRNA synthetases). tRNAs cope with the degeneracy of the genetic code in two manners: having more than one tRNA (with a specific anti-codon) for a particular amino acid; and 'wobble' base-pairing, i.e. permitting non-standard base-pairing at the 3rd anti-codon position. The record is from Rfam by way of RNAcentral. RNAcentral also lists the same sequence under 1 other name. Lineage: Eukaryota; Metazoa; Chordata; Mammalia; Carnivora; Canidae.